GACGAACGCUGGCGGCGUGCUUAACACAUGCAAGUCGAACGGGAUCCAAAGGCUUUUUGUUUUUGGUGAGAGUGGCGAACGGGUGAGUAACACGUGAGUAACCUGCCCCCUUCUUUUGGAUAACCGCAUGAAAGUGUGGCUAAUACAGGAUAUUCCAGGCUGGUCGCAUGAUUGGUUUGGGAAAUGGUUUGGUCUGGUGGGGGAUGGGCUCGCGGCCUCUCAGCUUGUUGGUGGGGUGAUGGCCUACCAAGGCGGUGACGGGUAGCCGGCCUGAGAGGGUGGGCGGUCACACUGGGACUGAGAUACGGCCCAGACUCCUACGGGAGGCAGCAGUGGGGGAUUUUGCACAAUGGGCGCAAGCCUGAUGCAGCGACGCCGCGUGAGGGAUGAAGGCCUUCGGGUUGUAAACCUCUUUCGCUGGGUUGAAAGGCCAUGCUUUGGGUGUGGUUGAUUUGAACUGGUAAAGAAGUACCGGCUAACUACGUG
Molecule: ribosomal RNA, 486 nt
Filed under: uncultured bacterium
Lineage: Bacteria
Description: partial 16S ribosomal RNA
Rfam family: Bacterial small subunit ribosomal RNA
Source: RNAcentral